Gambusia affinis (western mosquitofish) is the source of this 851-nucleotide long non-coding RNA. RefSeq lists it as uncharacterized. The transcript has 4 exons. The record is from RefSeq and is a predicted model, not a curated record. NCBI's taxonomy places the organism in Eukaryota, Metazoa, Chordata, Actinopteri, Cyprinodontiformes, Poeciliidae.
UGUGUUGAGUCGUUGACUUUGCAGCAGUCCCCAAUCCAGAGCAUGCAUGUAGCGGCAGUGCAGCAGAACUUCACUCUACCAGGAACCCGGCCGACGGGUAAAAGGUGACUACAAAAACCCCAGCUACUGAUAGAGAAAAGUCCUCAAGUGACCCACCCACUCCCCGACUGCUCCCGAUGGAAAAGGCCUUCAUUGCCCCCACCGCUGAUGGAUGACCUCAGUGACCCUGCCAUCGGGCUCAGAUGUCUUCCUCAAGAAACGCUGCAGGUAUUUUGCAGCAGAGAGGAAUUCUCCUGGAUCAUCUAGUUUUUCGUCCCGGAUUUCGUCCUUCAUCGGAUCCCCUUCAUCGGACAGAAAAGGCCCUCAUCUCCUCCUCCCACCCCUUGCUGAUGGAUGACCUCAGUGACCCUACGAUCGGGUUCAGCAGUUUUCCUCAAGAAACGCUGCAGAUUUUGCCCUUCAUCGCUCCCCAUCGCCAGACAGAAGAAAUAGCCGAACUUGAAACGCUUAUCAAAACAUCAGUCUAUCUUUUUUUUUUUUUUCUUUGUACCAAAAACUGGAUAAGUCUUCAAUCUGGUACUUUAUAAUUAAUUAUGUUUUAUUUAUUUUAGAUAAAAUGUCUUCCAAUUUUAGUGUUAAAUGUUAGAAUUUAUUGUAUAUUGAUUUUUGAGAAUGUGUUUUUGCAUCAUUUUAGUGUUGCCAUGGUCUAUACUGGUUUAUUGUGAUUUAUGCUGCCGUUUGUCAUUUUCUGUUUUUUUUCUGCAUUAUUUAUUUCAGCGGCUUUUGUUUUCUCAGUUAUUUUUCUUUCCACAGUUUUGUACCAAAAUCUGCAUUAAUAAAGUCAUCAAUCU